AUGGAAGUGAUGAUUUUUUCCCCAGAUGAUCGACGAUGAUUAUAAUGUGCGAUUGUUCUCUUUUCGAGAAUCCAAGCCAGUGUUCUGAUCCAU
Molecule: small nucleolar RNA, 93 nt
Organism: Pistacia vera
Lineage: Eukaryota; Viridiplantae; Streptophyta; Magnoliopsida; Sapindales; Anacardiaceae
Product: small nucleolar RNA Z103
Exons: 1
Source: RefSeq, a predicted model, not a curated record